This 216-nucleotide ribosomal RNA is filed under the name Campeiostachys nutans. RNAcentral describes it as "Elymus nutans partial small subunit ribosomal RNA". It matches the Rfam family "Eukaryotic small subunit ribosomal RNA", at positions 644 to 864 of the family's 1831-position model. Lineage: Eukaryota; Viridiplantae; Streptophyta; Magnoliopsida; Poales; Poaceae. The record is from RNAcentral.
GGGUUAGUAGGUUGGUCAUGCCUCUGGUAUGAACUGGUUUUACUGAUUCCUCCCUCUUGAAGAAUUGUAAUGCCAUUAAUUUGGUGUUGCAGGGAAUCAGGACUGUUACUUUGAAAAAAUUAGAGUGUUUAAAGCAAGCUAACGCUUGAAUACAUUAGCAUGGAAUAAUGAAAUAGGACGUUCGAUCCUAUUUUGUUGGUUUCUAGGAUUGACGUA